GGUUAAGUGAAUAAGGGCGCACGGUGGAUGCCUUGGCACUAGGAGCCGAUGAAGGACGGGACUAACACCGAUAUGCUUCGGGGAGCUGUAAGUAAGCUUUGAUCCGGAGAUUUCCGAAUGG
This 121-nucleotide ribosomal RNA is filed under the name Enterococcus avium. RNAcentral describes it as "partial 23S ribosomal RNA". It matches the Rfam family "Bacterial large subunit ribosomal RNA", at positions 1 to 121 of the family's 2925-position model. The record is from RNAcentral. Lineage: Bacteria; Bacillati; Bacillota; Bacilli; Lactobacillales; Enterococcaceae.